Arachis ipaensis is the source of this 1545-nucleotide non-coding RNA. NCBI's taxonomy places the organism in Eukaryota, Viridiplantae, Streptophyta, Magnoliopsida, Fabales, Fabaceae. The record is from RefSeq and is a predicted model, not a curated record.
ACAUAUUUUUUCCUUUUUCCCAAAAUGAAACCCUAGCUACCCAUCAGCUCCCUCCCUUCUAACAUCACCCACACACGCACACAGAAACGGAAAAGAGAGAAUAAAGGGGAAACGGGAAGGGAACUGCCUAGGAGGAGGAGAGGGAGAGGAGGCGAGCUGUCUGCGCCACCACCCAGUCGCCGCCACCAUCACGUCAGCACCUCAUCGCCGUCAUACUCGCCGGCAUGGAUGAAGCCCUUCGCUGCCGCUGCUGCCCGUGAAGCCGAGGCCGUCAUGGGUCAGAACUGAGGCGAGAGAGAAGGCCGCAGAGGAGGAGGGAACCGCGCCGUCUAGUCACCGUCUGUGAAGCUCAGGUCGCCGUCCAUGCUCGCCGCCACCGUUCGUCUUCCCCACUGCCAGACGCCGUCGCCGUUCGCGAAGAGGAGAGGGAGCUUGCCUGACCUUCGGGUCCGCCAUCAGAUCCGCCGUUAGAGUCGCAAACAAAGGACGCAAGAGAGAGAACCGUUGCGGAGCUGCUGUGUCGCCGGAGCUCCACGCCACCGUUGCUGCCGCUGGGAACCGCCACCGCUGAAACCCACUGUCGUCACAGUCGCCGGAGUUCUGGUCGCCGCUGCCGCUCGAGGUGGUUACUGGGGCUGCCGCCAAACCGGUUCAAUGACCGCUGCUGUUUCAUUUUCUUAGUUCGGGUCGUGUUCUGAGCAUUGGUUAUCGCUUUAAGUUGCUGUGAGUGCUGUGAAGGUGAUCAAGGACUGAGUUGCGGUUCUAUUGAUUUCGGGUUACAAGGAAAGGUUUCGUUGACGCGUUUUGGGUUAUAGUUUCGACGAGUUGAGGCGUAAUGGCCGGGUUCGUCCCGCUUACACUGAGUUGUAAGCAUAAGGGCCGGGUUCAUCCCGCUUAUGAUGAGAGAAUUGAUAUUGAUGUGAUUGUUGCUAAGUCACUUGCACCUGGCAAAGACGGUGGUUAAUCCCGCUUCUCGAGGUUGCGGCGCCCGCGUAAGGACGGUGGUUAAUCCGGCUUACGUGUAGAUGUGAGGUCGAAGGCAGAGUAUCCCGCUCACAUCCUUUCGGAUCACAGGAGUGUGCAGGCACUGACAUCCUGGACCGUGUGUCGGACACGUUAUCCCAGGGGGUUCCCAUUUAUUCGUGACCGAAAGACAAUAUUCCCAUUUUAGGGUAUGCAUAUUAUAUUUGGUUUGCCUAUGUAAAUAAUAAUGUUAACUGCUAACUGUUAUACUUGUUGUAACUGCUCUUGAUUGUGUUUGAACUACAUUAAUUGUGAUUGUGUUUGAUUGGGUGGUUGUUGAUGAGUUGGUUGAUGAUUGAGCUGUUUGGGCCGAGGGCGUGUUGGAUUGGAUGGGCCUGAGGCUGUGGUUGGUAUGUUUGAGGUCUAGCUCUGUAUAAAGUAUCAAACUGGUUCAACAUAGACUUAAUGAACCUAUGCUUGGGACAUGUUGGACAAGUUUUGGAUAAUUAGCUUAUUUCCUCUUUUGAAAUGGAAUUUUGGAUGUUAACCCUUUGGAUUUAAAAAAGGCACGUAAGACGAGAA